This 330-nucleotide unclassified non-coding RNA is filed under the name soil metagenome. RNAcentral describes it as "partial contains 5.8S ribosomal RNA, internal transcribed spacer 2, and large subunit ribosomal RNA". The stretch from base 1 to 120 matches the Rfam family "5.8S ribosomal RNA", at positions 35 to 154 of the family's 154-position model. The record is from RNAcentral.
GAUGAAGAACGCAGCGAAAUGCGAUAAGUAGUGUGAAUUGCAGAAUUCAGUGAAUCAUCGAAUCUUUGAACGCACAUUGCGCCCCUUGGUAUUCCGAGGGGCAUGCCUGUUCGAGCGUCAUUAUAACCCCUCAAGCUUAGCUUGGUGUUGGGGCCUGCUGUAAUAGAGCAGCCCUUAAAAUCAGUGGCGGUGCCAUUAGGCUCUAAGCGUAGUAAUUCUUCUCGCUAUAGGGUUCUGGUGGAUGCUUGCCAUUAACCUCUAAUUUUCUAUGGUUGACCUCGGAUCAGGUAGGGAUACCCGCUGAACUUAAGCAUAUCAAUAAGCGGAGGA